AUGAACGCUGGCGGCGUGCCUAAUACAUGCAAGUCGAGCGAACAGACGAGGAGCUUGCUCCUCUGACGUUAGCGGCGGACGGGUGAGUAACACGUGGAUAACCUACCUAUAAGACUGGGAUAACUUCGGGAAACCGGAGCUAAUACCGGAUAAUAUAUUGAACCGCAUGGUUCAAUAGUGAAAGACGGUUUUGCUGUCACUUAUAGAUGGAUCCGCGCCGCAUUAGCUAGUUGGUAAGGUAACGGCUUACCAAGGCAACGAUGCGUAGCCGACCUGAGAGGGUGAUCGGCCACCCUGGAACUGAGACACGGUCCAGACUCCUACGGGAGGCAGCAGUAGGGAAUCUUCCGCAAUGGGCGAAAGCCUGACGGAGCAACGCCGCGUGAGUGAUGAAGUUCUUCGGAUCGUAAAACUCUGUUAUUAGGGAAGAACAAAUGUGUAAGUAACUAUGCACGUCUUGACGGUACCUAAUCAGAAAGCCACGGCUAACUACGUG
This 496-nucleotide ribosomal RNA is filed under the name uncultured bacterium. RNAcentral's name for it is "partial 16S ribosomal RNA". It matches the Rfam family "Bacterial small subunit ribosomal RNA", at positions 29 to 507 of the family's 1533-position model. The record is from RNAcentral.